GAAAACAUCUCAUUACAAUACAAUGACUUCUAAACUGAAAAGGAAAUACAGAAGAAUAGGCAAACAAUAAAUAAUACAUAAUCAAAGAUAUCUUGGUUAGAGAAGUGUAGGAAGGAAUGCUAAGGCUAAGCCAAGUGGAAAUGCAAGAUGAAGGUGGUCGAAGCUCGAAGCCCUAUUCCCGCUGUUCCCCGGGGUACCGGUGGUGGCAGAGUCUCCUGCAUCCGGUGGUUGAACGCCUGGUGCUGGUGCUGGUGCUGGACUAUUUGCUGAUCCCACUGGAUAUCCCAAAAGAGAACAGAGAGAGACGGGAGGAGUGGAGACAUUGCAGGCGGAAGGAAGCUUCAUAGCUCUAUCAACAUCAAUGGUUAAUCCAACUUUAUUAGGAUCACUAAGCAGCUGGCAAAGGCAGCGAGGGCUACUCUCCACCAGCUGCUUAGUGAU
Molecule: unclassified non-coding RNA, 441 nt
Filed under: Hevea brasiliensis (rubber tree)
Lineage: Eukaryota; Viridiplantae; Streptophyta; Magnoliopsida; Malpighiales; Euphorbiaceae
Source: RNAcentral